CUACGGGGGGCUCCAGUGGGGAAUAUUGCACAAUGGGCGCAAGCCUGAUGCAGCCAUGCCGCGUGUAUGAAGAAGGCCUUCGGGUUGUAAAGUACUUUCAGCGGGGAGGAAGGGAGUAAAGUUAAUACCUUUGCUCAUUGACGUUACCCGCAGAAGAAGCACCGGCUAACUCCGUGCCAGCAGCCGCGGUAAUACGGAGGGUGCAAGCGUUAAUCGGAAUGACUGGGCGUAAAGCGCACGCAGGCGGUUUGUUAAGUCAGAUGUGAAAUCCCCGGGCUCAACCUGGGAACUGCAUCUGAUACUGGCAAGCUUGAGGCUCGUAGAGGGGGGUAGAAUUCCAGGCGUAGCGGUGAAAUGCGUAGAGAUCUGGAGGAAUACCGGUGGCGAAGGCGGCCCCCUGGACGAAGACUGACGCUCAGGUGCGAAAGCGUGGGGAGCAAACAGGAUUAGAUACCCGCGUAGUC
RNAcentral lists this ribosomal RNA (464 nucleotides) under uncultured bacterium. RNAcentral describes it as "partial 16S ribosomal RNA". It matches the Rfam family "Bacterial small subunit ribosomal RNA", at positions 339 to 795 of the family's 1533-position model. The record is from RNAcentral.